UGAUACUCUCGUGGGUGUGUUACUAAUUUACCAACCUGAUUUGAAUAACGUAAUAGAGGUAACUUGCUAUCUCACUACCAAUCCAAAAAAUAUAUAUAUAAAGUUCGCAAUCAACCGACAACUGGUAAUUUCAGGUGGCAUAAUUUCUUUGAAAUUAAUAAUAAUCCAGCAGCAUAAUGGUAAAACCAACUCCCAGCUAGGCUGGGUUCCAAAAAGAAAUGGUAAAACCAAAUCAGUAUGAAGUUCAUUUGUCUAAUGCCGAAAGGAACAAUGUUGUUCUAUGAAUCUGCAAGGUGGGAAUCUUAUUUCUAGUUUCUUGCAAACCAAACAUGGAAAGAAACUAUAGUUCAGGGUGAACCGAAAAGGUUUCGCCCUAGAAGGCUCAAAAAGUAUGAGCGUUGCUUUGCAUUAUGUAUUCGGUUAGGCCAACAAGCCAACCAAAACGCUUCGUAAUAGUUGUUUUAGCCAAGUCGCCAUCAAGACGAGCACAGCACUGACUUAAUCUAGAUUUCACCAUCCCAGAGUUCCUCAACAGUUCUAUAGGACCCAAAAGUGUCAUGUACAAAAAAGUCACCUUUGACUAGCCUUUCCUGCAAAUUUGGAAAACAAUGUAGUAUCAGUGACCAUCAUCACCAUCUUGAUCAAAUUACNNNNNNNNNNNNNNNNNNNNNNNACAGAUGACCAUCUUAAAUUUUAGUAAAUACAAACGGUAGAGGGCUAAAGUGCGUUGAUUAAACUAGCAUGAAAAUCAUAACGAACGCUAGUUUCGAGGUAAUCCACAACUCCUCGCGCUUCACCACACCAUCUUCAAAUAGCUUCUUCAAAACUAAACCGAUCUACAAUAAACAUAAAUUAUUUGUCACACAUACAUCCUUGUAAGAACCUAAACAUCUGCAAAUAUUAAGCCAAACAUAAACUUUUUCACAUUUAACCCAAAAUGAUAUGAACUAGUUGCAGCAACUUAAGAAUUGAACAACUACAUGACAACUACAGAGAAUCUUUGGAACCAUAACUGAGAAAAAAACAAAAAAAAACUGAAUUACCUCUUUCUCAUUGCCAUAGACUGGAGCACAAUCAAUAUGCCGAUAUCCUGCCUGCAAUGAGUAGAAUCACAGAUUAGACUAAAUUUUAAUCUCAAUCAGGUACAAACUAUUCUAAGACUAUUUUCAUCAAUUUUAAAGAGGAUCGAGUAAAAAGGGGAAGAGGAAAACUUUGAUGGCGGCGGCGACGGCGUCACCAACCAAGCCAGGGCUGGCCUGCCAGGUCCCCAAGCCCAAAGAAGGAAUCUUGGCUCCGGUGUUCAACUCAAAGAAACGAAUUUCGUCCGCCAUUGUCGGUUGUCACAGAAAGAGUGAAGGAGCUGGAGAGAGCAUAAAGUCCUUGUUUAGAACUUCGAAAGUUAGAAGACGACAGAAAGCAGUAUGUCAUCGUUGACGACCGUUUGAUAGCGAAUGGGUUUAUAGUUUUCUGUUUUUUUGUUUGUUUUUAUUAAUCUGUUUUUAUUGAAUCGCAUGACUUUAAUGAUUAUGCUCUAACAAAUAGAUAUUUUAUUCACACGUCUCUAAUUGUUAGAUACAUAUUUUUUUUCAUACAAAUUAUAUAAGACUUUGUGAAUACGUAAAAUUACUAAAUGAGACAUUGUUAUAAAAAUAAAGAAAUCUAGUUGAGAUGUUUCAAUAUCAAAAUUUUAAUUUUGAGCUUAAACGGAGUACUAAUAUUUUUGACAUAUAUGAAUAUUAGCAAUAAUUUUUAAUAAUCGAUCAGUUUAGUAUUACGCUUACGCAGGACUAAGCAUUCUCAUACUGAAAGUUUUGUUAAGGACUUUGAUGAUGUCUUGUUUUAUUUUUACUCAGUGGGUGUACAUAUUUUUGAAAUUGAUAUGAGUAAAAAACUCUUUGAGAAGAAAUUUUGUCAAGAAAAACUCAUAAAAGAAAAGAAAAAAUUCUUAUUAGCCCUAAUUUAAAAAGAAAUAUUUUCCACUAACAAAAUAAGAUUUCAUAAUUCCCAUCAACCGUAUACACUUUUAAGUGUUAUUCCCACUAACAAAAUUGUCAGGAUUUUCCUUAUUUUUGUUUGUCUAGAAUACCUCUCUCUCUCCACAACACGACGCCGGGAGUACAAAACAUGAAUGCGAUCGCUAGAUCAACGUCACCGCUCGAUUAACGCCGCCGCCGUCUUCAUCCUUGAGAUCAUCCGAGUUGGAUCGCUCAACUAGAUGAAAGCCUCGGGUCCACCAAUUGGUGUCCUCCGCCGCAACCUCAGCCGACUUCACUUACCUGCGUCGGCGUCACCAGUUGGUGUCCUCCACCGCGACCUCGACUUGUUUGGCCGCCACCUCCCUUGUAAUCACCAACUGCACCAGAUCUGGUUUCGUCCACAAGAAGGGAUGCUAGGCAACUAAAAGCCUCUGGUCGCCGCAGACGAUAUCAGCGUCGACAACGCUUUCUACCAGUGGUGGUCCAUCACCGGAAUCAGGUCCAGCAGCGAGAAUCUGGUGUUUGAGGUCGACAUGGUGACAACGAAGUAUCCGUCUAAGAACUUCAUUGACAGUCCGGCCUGCGAGGGCCGCCGCCACUCCGCUUCUUAGCAGGUUUCGAUUUGAUGUUUGUAGCAUUGAUUCGGCUGGUUAGGGGUUUUGAAUUAGUGUUUCUGAUUCGGCUAGAUCGUAUGUCUUUGAUUGAUUUUUUUUUUUUGAACAUGGAUGUCUUUGAUUGAUUUAGAAAUGGGAUUUUUAGUUUCUAGUACUGUGGUUAUAGCCAAUUCGCAUACUAAGGAUUUAGAUGUGUUUUUAUGAUUUCAGAUAGAUUUGGUGAAACUGUUGCACGAAUCAAAGUACUAGAAUAGAUUUGUGUUAAUUAUACAUACGGGAUUCUCAAUUAUGCACCUACCAAUUUUAUCUUUCAUAAGUGCACAUACUGGAAAUUGUCAAAGGAGAAAUAGAUGGAAAUCUAUAGGCAUCUUAAGAGCAUCUCCCAUCUUUCAAGUAUACUGCCCCAGUAGGAGGUCCUACUGCCCCUAGUAGAUGAUCAUACUGACCCCAGUAGGAGCCAGUAGGAGGUCUUACUGACCCCAGUAGGUGGUCAUACUGACCCCAGUAGGAGGUCUUACUAACCCCAAUAGGUGAUCAUACUGCCCUCAAUAGGGACCUAUUGUAAGUGACCGAAACACACAAUUAAGUUCAAGGGUCAUACUUCUCCCAAUAGGAGGUCAUACUGUCCUCAAUAGACCCCCCGACGAACCCCUUUCUGCCCCCAAUAGACCCCUGACGAAACCCCAGUCGUCGGAAUCCGGUCAACGGUCGCUGGAGUCUUGUCAACGUCGUUGGAUCCUGGUCAACGGCCGCCGGAGUCACGGUCAACGGUAAUCGGUUGCGGGAUUCGGUCAUAGAUAUUUAUUUCAAAAUAAACCUUCUAUUGUUUUUACAAUAGUCUAUUGUAGUUUAUUUAAAUCAUUAAAGGUAUAAUUGUCUUUUUCCUGUUUAAGUUGGCUCUUGGAAAUUUUAAAAUCUGAUUUUGUUUGUGGGAAUAAAAUUCUUAAAAUUAAGGCUAAUAGGCAUUGUCCUUAAAAGAAAAACUAGUCAAGGAAGAUCUUAACAAAGUGAAAUAGUUCGAGGAAAGAUGAAACCGUUUGACAAAAAUCUCAUUAAUAUGAAAUUCUUCUAGUCAUAUGAGUGAAUGUUAUAGCUUCAAUUGAGAAACAAUUUUAUUUUAUUUUUUUUGAAAAAGAUUGAGUAGUAGAUUUAAAUUAGGGAUGUGUAUUUAGAGAGUAGGUUGCAUUGUGUAUUGUCACUAAGUGUAUUUUAAGAAGUUUAAUGAUGUGUAUCUAGUAAAAUGUUAAAAUAAUAAAUAUAACUGGUGGUGUAUUAAGUAUGAUAUGUGUAUCUAGUAUCUAAGCACGUGCUAAUAAAAUUUUUCUUUAACAAAACCUGUUGAAUCGCCAACUCUAAAGAUUACGCUUUAACAAAACCCACUACUUAACGGUUAAGUAUUGAUAUUGUGAUGACUAGAGAUCGCAUUGUAAGUAUUAAUUUGUAAGGUGAAUAUGAAGAAUCCAGCAACAGAGUUGGUGCUCUCUCAGUUCACAACUGCUUAAUGAAGAAGCAAGAUUAUAGAGCACCAAAUCAUCUACUUACACCUCACGCCCGUAUCCAAAAGAGACAGAUCACUACCCCGAUCUUUAGACGAGUCAAACAUGCCUCGAGUCCCACAUGGCGUGCCAAAAUGUUUGACUCAUCAAAAUAUGGGGUGGUAAUUUGUCUCUUUUACCCAAGAGUUGACAAGUAAAACAUUUAGUGGGACUCUAGGCCUCUUUGCUCGUCCAAAUAUUGAGGUAGUAAUCUGCCUUGUUUGGAUAUGGGCAUGUGUGAGGCGCAAGCGGAUGAUUUGGCGUGCUGCAAAUAUUGCUCCUUCGUUAAGCGGUUAUGAAUGGAGAGAGCACCAACCCUGUUGCUGGAUUCUUCAAAUUCGCCUUAAGGACUUAUGGUGUGAUCUCUAGUCGUCACAAUAUUGAUACUCAAUCAAAGCUCAGCAGAGCAACAAACGGAAGGUUUCAAAAAACAUUAGGUUUUACUAAAGCGUAAUCUUUAGCGUUGAGUUCUCAAGAAUAUGUUGUGGUAAGUUAGCCGCACCCUUCUUUUCUCUUUAGGGUUUCUUCUCCUAGGGUUGUCUAACUGCCUUGCUGCUUCGCAUCCAAACCUCUCGAUCUAUAAUGUCCGACAAGGUUUCUUAACGUUUCACGUCGGCUCUGGCCAUCCAUGACGGUGAUUCUCCACAUUCAGUGCCAUGAGAUCUUCAUCGGCGCCGCAACAGUUCUUUGUUGUUGGUAGGCUUCUCACCUUGAAGAGUAAAAUCCCAUAUCUGAAAGCCGUCAUUGGUACUCUCACAUCAGUUUGGGAUCUCCAUAAUCGUCUCCAGAUGAGAGCAAGGGCGGACCGCUUCAUACUUCGUUUCACCAGAGCCGAUGACCGAAAAAAUAUCCUAACUGACGGUCCUUGGUUCUAUGGACGAUCUUUGUUCAUUCUUGCUGAGUAUGUUGGGUUGGAAGAUAUGGCUUCUGUUCCGAAUGAUUCGUUCCCUGUCUGGGUCGAAGUCAGAGGCCUUCCAGAUGUGCUUAUGACUGAUGAAGCGGUUGAGAGCAGGUUGAACAUGUUGACCAGAUGAACAUCAGAAGGGGAACCUAGGCUUGGGUCCAGAUUUUGCAGAAACUGAGUGUACCGAUCAAGGAGGCAUUUGGUGAGAUGCCAUUCGAAUUCGGGUCGAGAAGGUUCCCGGUGAAGUUGAACGUGAAGUAUGACUGGACGGUGGGUUUUUGUAAGGUUUGUUGUCUCUUGGUGCACCCAAAAACUGAUGGGUCAAAUUUCCCUCCUUAUUUGGAGGAGGAUGUCAUAUGGUUUACUACAUGUGAAACACCUUUUUUGGUGAAGCCUCAAGACCCAUCAAUUAACCAAGAGGCAAGAUGGUAUAUGAAUAGCAAAGUUGGUAGUGUGUACAUGUUGAAAUGCAAGAGAGAGAGCCUAUAUGUAUAGGCUUGUUGGUGGCUGAAAAGUUUGACAAAAGGAUAGAGAUGCAUUGAUGGUGCAUACAAACAUUGAAGCUUGAAUUAAGGAAGAAGUUUGAAUUCUCUUCCUUGUGCAUGGACGUGAAGGAUUUGCAUGGGAAGUGCAUGAAGAAUGCAUGCAUAUAUUUGCCUAUAUAUAGAGGCAUUUGCAAUGGUGCAAAAGAUAUAGAAGAACCGGUGAGUUCACCUUGUGCUAUACAAGAGUGUGAGAUAGAGAGAAAACUCCAAGUUGAGAGUUUGUGUGUGUAACAAAACAAAGUGUGUGUGAGAGUGUAUCCCUUCAAGAGUGAGUCUUGAAGUAGUGUUUCUCUCCGUGUAACCUUUAUUCAAAUAGUGGAGGUUCUUUGUUGUUGUUGCCCCGUGGAUGUAGGCACUUUACCGAACCACGUUAAUACCCGGUGUUCUUUAUCAUUUUCUUUCCGUUACAUUUUACAUUUGUGGUUGUGAGUUCUGAUUCCAUUCUACAGUUUAUUCUCCGCAUAACCCAACAAAAACAGGGUGUGCAAGUAAACCUGACCUGCUUCCUCAGUUUAUUGACAUUGAAUCGAUGAAGACUCCUUUUGGAUUUGGGGGAGCAACUAGGGUUUUUGGAAACCCUAACCCUAAACUAAAAGAGCAACCUAGGCUCUUUGCACAGCAAACAGAUUUGCAAGUGGACAGAUUGGAAGGUGUGCUCUCAACUUCAUCCAUGUUUGUGGCUAACCCUUUUGCAGGUCCUAGCAUGAUGCCGAAAUUUGCAUUCUCUAUUCUAGAAAUAUCGGCAGCAGAUUUGGCUUUGAAGUUGGAUAGGCUGUAGACUCCACCUGUGGUACAGUCGGCUUUGAUUGCAGCUCCGGUGGUUAUUGUGGAGAAUCCUUGGGUAUCUACCCCUAUCCCUCUUUUUGGUGUUAAGAAAGGUCCGGAACUAGGCUUAGUUCCUAUGGGGAAACGAGGUAGAGGAGAUGAGGACUCAUAAUCUAUGGUUUUGGUGCCGUAUGUGUUGGAUUUCUCACCGAAGAUGGCUCUAUCUCACUCUGGUGGUGUGAUUGUGGUCUCCUCGGCAAAGAAAAGGAAGCUAGGUCGUCCAAAGGGAUCUUUGAACAAGAAACAUGCUGUUGUUGUUGAUCAGACUACGCUGGGGCUGAAAAGAGCUAAAUAAUGCUCUUUUGGAGCUCAGAAAAAUCUAAAGAAGGAGUUGGAUAAAGUACAGGUUCAUGUGGUAAGUAAUGAGGAUUAUUUCGAAGAAAAGGGAGAGACAGUAGCUGCGGAUUUGGAGCCGGGGUCUGGUGUUUUUGCGGGUGGAAGCUCUUCUGGAGGUAGCUCUUCUGGGGUCUCCUCUUCGGGGUAGUUGAAUUUCGUGGUCUUCUGAAUAAGUUAGUUAUCAAAAUAAAGGAGUUUUUUUCUAGAACUUUGUUAGGUUUGUUUCUGUUUUGUUUUUUAUGGUUUUCUUGGUUCUCUGGUUCUGAUUACUUUAUCUGAGGUGUAAUGCUUAUGCUGAGGUGCAAUGCUUAUGGUUUGCAGCAUAGGAAUAACCUAGGGUAGCUUCAGUCUUCUUAGGUAGCUUCGCAUGAUUUUUUUUAAUGCUUGCCCGCGAGGGUGUGUCAUAUUCAUGUUGUAAUCCGAAUUUCAAUGACUAACAUCCAUUUAUCUGAAAAACAAUAUGUUGUGGUUCUGCUUCAAUGAAGACUUUGUAGGUAUUUUUUUUGUAGUUGUUGAGAGAGAAAAAGAUCCUCCAACUCUCCUGUUUACAGUGGCGGAUUCUCCAACUCCAUAUCAAUACUCAACCGAAGGCAUAUAUCGAACAACAUAUAUAACAAGUCAAAUGGUUGGAGUGCUUGUAUGUACAAACAACAACAACAACAACAAAAACAAAAGCAAAUAAAAAACAACAACAACAAAAACCAAAGCAAAAAAACUAAACCAUUGCUUUGACAAGCCAGUAAGAUCACUUGUGUAAAAAUUAAAAUCCAUUCAUACACGAUUGGUGUAUACAUUCGUAUACAUGUACCACUCUGGGAAAGAAAUUGUUGUUCGAUAACCCUGCAAGGUGGAGAAUCUUAUAACAAGCUUCAUAAAAGACGAUCAAAAGAUUUGGAAAGCAUAUAUAUAGUAGGAUGAGCGUUGGAAAGCAUCCUGUAUCCAGUAAGUCGAAUAAGCCAAGCAAAAUGCUGAGCAUUACAACAAUUUUUCAAAAUGCAAUCUCUCUUAAAAUAUGCUCCCAGGCUCAACUUAUCUGACUAUCUAGAGUUCACCAUCCCAAAGCUCUUCAAGACUUCUAUAGGGUCCAAAGGUGUCAUGAACAAAUGAGGUCCCUCUCAGCAGCCUUGCCUGCAUAAUUGGAGAUCACAUAAUUGUUAGAAUAAAGACUACCUGAUAAUCAUCAAUUUAUCAGUGGCGAUAUCAUCAUCAUGAUAAUGAUUACAGGACCUAUUCCCAAACCAACCAGAAGAUCCAGAGAAGAGGAGUGUUGGAGUGGUGUCUAAAGCUUUAGCAGCUUUCACAUUAUAUGAUAAGGGUGGAAUGUGUGACGUAGGUAACAAUAAUACGAUAUUAGUGAGGGUAUUGAUACUAGGAGAACAAGAACCAAUCCCAUUAACUAGAUACCUGCUCAAUUUCAGAAAACUUGGCAAACAAUUCUUCUGGGAUAGACCAGCAGAAGACAUCAAGAUUCUCCUUGAUCCUUGCUUCGUUAGUACUCUUUGGAAGAACACUGUGACCCAUUUGCAGUCCCCAUCGAAGAGCAACUUGAGCAGGAGUUUUUCCUAGCUUCUCUGCGACGCUGAGAAGAAUCGGAUUCUUAAGGACAUCGCUUUUGAUCCAUGUCGUGCCAGGAGAACCCAGUGGUGAAUAUCCCUGAAAGAAGAACAACUAGCUCCCUUGUUAUAUUGCAAAAUUUUGCCCAAGACAUAAGACACCACCACUCAGCAUUUGCAUACUUACAGAAAGGUGAACCCCCUUGGAUUUGCAGAAGGAUCGUAGCUUGCCUUGCUGCCAUGAAAGAUGACACUCUACUUGGUCAACAGCAGGAGGAACACGUGCCACAUCCAACAAAUCUGACAGCUUCUUUGUAGAGAAAUUGCUCACACCAAUAGCUCGAGCCUUGCACGAAUCAUAGAGAGUUUCCAUUGCUCUCCAAGUACCUGGGAUAUCUGGUUCAACAAGGUUUUCAGGCUUAAAACCUACUGAACCCUUCUUCAUCCGCACUGGCCAGUGGAUCUUCACAUUUUCAGUGUGGUCAUUAGUACAGCCGAACAAUUACGACAAAAUGGAAUAACAAAUUCAAGAUGAUGAGGCAAAUUAUCUAUGAUUUUCGACUUCUAGCUAGACAGCAUUACUAUAAAUGGAUGAAUGACUUUGGAUGUAAAUUUAUAUUCAACAACCACAUUAAGGUGUAUUGACAUAUCUUUUGGAAAAUGCAGAUUAAACCCUGAACUAAGCAUGACUUAUCCAUGUUAAAGCCCUGUGAGUGAUCUGAUCAACCAUGUGCAGACCGUCCUGAACCAAAUUCAAAGACACCUAACAUGGGAAUAAGUUUUGAAUUCUUAAUACAUACCAAGAACAAGUCAAUAUAUUCAAGCUGCAGGUCUCUCAAAGUCCUAUCCAAUGCCUCUAGUACAUCUUCCGGUGCAUGAUCCGUACACCUGCAGACCAUCUUGCUCGUAAGUAUAUAUAUACAAUUACAACCCGUAGGAGGGCUUAGGAUUUAGAUCAUGAAUAAUAACUACCACUUGGUCAAUAUUUCAAUUAAUUAUCAUGAAACUUAUAACGAACCAGAGCUUGGAGGUAAUCCACAAUUCCUCGCGCUUCACCACACCAUCUUCAAACAGCUUCCUCAAAACCAAACCAAUCUACAAGAAACACAAAAUUUUAACCACCAAACCGUCUUCAAAGAAUGAAGCAAAUCACAGGUAAUUUAAACUCCCAACUCAAAAUAAAAACACAAAACAUAGAAACCGGUAUCGGAAUAAGGCAGUCAAUUAGCUUAGAACAUGCUACACAUAUGAGCCAACUGAAGUAAUUUCAGAAAUACAUGAAGAAGAAGUGACAAUAACAGAUCAAAUGAUAGUAAAUGUUUAGAUCUGAACAAAAGCAACUAGAGUUACCUCUUUCUCAUUGCCAUAGACUUGAGCACAAUCAAUAUGCCUAUAUCCUGCCUGCAGUCAGAAACAUCACCACUUCACUAAAGUGCUAAGAUUUACAGAACCAAACAGCAGAAGCGACAAGAAAGGCUUGAUCUUUGUUGUAGUUAAGUAAAAGCAUGUAAACUAAGUGAAGUUGAGUUAAGAGGGAAAGAGGAAGAAGACCUUGAUGGCGGUGGCGACGGCUUCACCGACCAAGCCGGGGCUGGACUGCCAGGUCCCUAAGCCCAAAGACGGCAUCUUGGCUCCGGUGUUCAACUCAAAGAAGCGAAUGUCGUUCGCCAUUUUCAAGUUUCAGAGAGCUGGAAGGAGAAGGAAGUCUGAGAGAGUGAUCAAGUUGGAGUUGAAUUUAGAGAGGAGAGUAAAACGUGGUCAGGGGAAAUGUUCUAGGACAGUGUAGGCGCGAUUAUUGAAGACAAAGUGACAGUUCUGAGUGGCUAACAGGGUGACACCUGUAGCCUAACAGUUGCUUUUUCACCGAAAUUGGAAAAAAGGAACCCGGAUCCUCGUUCUCAUAUUUCCUCGUGAGAGGAUCUCAGCCUUUUAUUUUGAACCAAUGGCUGAGAUUUUCCUAGUUAAUUUUAACCCCUUAUUACCCAACUUACUCGCUUACUCUUCCUCUUCUCCUCAAAAUAUCGGGUUGCUCUCUCUCUCUCUCUGCCGUCGUCGCCCCACAACACUCUCUAAGCUCCCACUAAUCAAACUGUCAUAAAUACUAGACCAUUUCGGAUAAUUAAGCUUAAGAACAACACUAGGCUCGAAGUUACAUGCAUUAUACAUGGACCUACUCUUCCCCAUCAUACACAGCUUCUUAUCCAAUUCCGAAUAAUACCCAUCAAGCCUGAAUCUCACCACACCCCGCGUGACCGGAAUCCUCGAUCCCCGAAAGUUCACCAGCGUCGCCGGCAGAGGGAGGCUCGCGAGCGACGACGGAAGAGAGAGGGAGAUCACGAGCGACGACGGCGGAGGGAGGCCGAGCUCGCGACGGCGGAUUCGAGAGAGAGGGCGGGUGCGGGGCGACGACGGCAGAGAGAGAGAGAGCAGCCCGAUAUUUUGAGGAGAAGAGGGAGAGUAAGCGAGUAAGUUGGGUAAUAUGGGGUUAAAAUUAACUAGGAAGAUCUCAGCCAUUGAUUCAAAAUAAAAGGCUGAGAUCCUCUCAUGAGGAAAUAUGAGGACCAACUCAUGAGGAGAGGAUCCGGGUUCAGAAAAAAGAGGGAGAAGGAGGAGGAAUCAAAUUUGCCUUUUUGUUCUUGCCAUGACUAUCCAAUCAAAACCUGCCAAAAAAAGAGAGUUGACCAUAGUUAUAUUAUCACCCAUGGCAAUUUUUGAUUAGAUGGUCACAGUAUGAUUAAAAAUUUGCUAGUUGACAAAUUUAAUUUCGAAGAAAGAAGAAUAUAUUUUGUUGUCGGAAUCAAAGUUUAAAUGGAUAUUUCAAUCAUGGACUUAUCCUAUUAGAUUUAAGUCAUUUAACUGAUGUCUGAUGCUGUGGUAAAAUAUGGUGGAACUAUAAAAUCAUAAUUAAAAAAUUGAUCAAACUGCUUAGUAUGGAGCUUUGUCAAGAGUUCGAAAUUUUGAAUCCCAACUAAUGAGAGUUUGUGAUCAGCAGGUAUUAAGAGACUCCGGAUUCAUGCGCUUGCGGUAGGAGAUAUGUUUUGACUUUGCUGGAAUACUCAUGUGGAUCUCAGUCCGAUUGUUGACUGAGUUGGUGUGUUACUAACUUGCUAAUGUAUACCUUACUCCUAAUAAAAAGAAAUAUGCUUAGAUGUUAAUAAAAAAGAAUAGCUUUUAUUUGUACGAUAGUCUGACACAUUCCUUUUAUAAAUAGGUUUGGUUUAAAUCUGUGACUUCCAGCUACUCGGCAUCUACGCUCCGAUUUACAGUGGUCAGUUCCCAUAACUAUGCAAAGUGUAGAUAUGAGAAAAAGGUCCAGAUUAAGGGGAUUGAACAAGCAAUUCUUCCACAAUCACAAUACCAACGGGUUAAUAUUCAAGAUAUACUACUGAUGCCGAUUUCAGAGGUUACAGAUAAGUAGUUUUAUGAAUUAGGUAUCAACCAUUAACACCAGUCGUAUCUGUAUAAUGUACUCGAGCAUGCACUUGAGAGUCAAGAGUUUUGGAGGCAAAUUGUUUCUGAGAAAAGGUGGUUAGUUCCCAUAACUAUGCAAAGUGUAGAUAUGACAAAAGGUCCAGAUUAAGGAGAUUGAACGAGCAAUUCUUCCACAAUGAUGUAUAAUUGAAUAACACUUCAUCUGCAUCAUGAUGUAGAUCCCACUGUUAUAUUUGUUGUAUGUGGUUGGGUUACCUUCUGCAAAUGAGAGGCGAAAGGAGGGAAAAUUGUAAUAAACAUUGGAGGACUUUGACAUUGCACUUGCAAACACCGUCUGUAGCAGAAGCAUCUAAAUCCAACAAAAUAUAUAAAAAGUUAGCACAUAACGCAACCGAAAUCCGACAAUUACUAACAAAGGCCUUACGGUGGCUCUUGCUAUCUCAAUUCGUCUAUUCAAUGAUGUCAAUUCCGGCACAAAAUCCCACAACUUGGCAAUUUUCUCCUUUAGUUUCAUAACCAACAAAAAUAUAUGGUUUGUGAUUUCAUCAUGCAACGGGAUGAAAAUCUGCAAAAGCACAAGAAAUUAUACACAUGACAAGCAACGUAAUAUCAAUGUGAUGAAUUAACCCUUAAUUACCUAAACACAAUGCUUUAAUCGCCUAUGGAACCUCUGCAACCGACAAUGAACAAUUGUUGAUGCCACUGAAACAGGGACAACAGAUGGAUUCUCAUUUAACUUGGCUUGUUCCUAUUCAUGAAGACAGUAACAUAGCAUUCAUUAUUAUCAUUGUUUGUAUUUAGGUACAAUAGCAGAGUUAUUAUUCCUAAUGUGAUUUCUUUAUACCCCAAAGAAAGUAGGCAAGAACCAUGAGUCGGAGUUGGUUUGACACAAGUACGCCGCCCAAAUGUUUAUGGCCUGAAUCAUUUUCAGUCAUCUCACAUAGUUAAGAUUACGACCAUAUAAUGUAUGUGCAAUACUAGCUUAGAAGAAAUUGGCACGGAUAAUUCAUUACCUUUGAAGAAAUUGAGACGCUCGGGCAAAGACAUUGGAUAUCCUCAAGGGACACCCCAAAAUCCCCACCGCGGGCAACUUCUUCCCUGUAUUAAUCAAAUGCACUGGUCAAAAACAAUAAUGCUCUUCUGCGGUCACAAUAUCAACCAAAACUCAAAUAAAUUAUUGAAAACAGAAGCACAGAAGCUUCAUAUAGCAUUGAAUGACCAACUGAAAAUCCUUAAUUCAGGUCACAAAACUUAUAAUGUCUUUACUGACCUGGACUCAUGUCCUCCUUUCCUUGGCUUCCCAAAUAAGAACUUUAAGACCUUAGAAUCCUUCCAAAUAAGAACUAAGCAUCAGUCUAAAUACAUAGACGUAGUAGCAUCAAAAAGUCUUCUAACCCAGUAAAACCCAGACUCUCGAAUUGAAAAAAAAUCUUCCAGUUCAACUCCCACAAACCAAUUCAACCCAACAUUCAAAUAAUAGUAAUUAUCAGGGAGAGAAGAAUAACUUAAUCUUACAACUGAAGAGAGAGAGAGAGAGAGAGAGAGAGAGAGAGAGAGAGAGAGAGAGAGAGAGUAGACGAGACNNNNNNNNNNNNNNNNNNNNAAAAUCUGAAAAUUUGAAUGUCAAGUUAACUCUAAAAAUCUAGAUUACACAGAGUGAAACUGAAAGAGUACUCCCCACGAAAACAAGUAUAAUAUUUACCUUUCUUACCUCUCUCUCUUUUUGUGGAGGAAUCUCUGAGUGGGUUUUGCAGAAACAAGGCAGUGCUCCCGCUCAACCUGACCCUUGCAAUUGAAAAUAGGGGAACGAAUGGUGGGUUCGUUCUCUUGAAGCUUGGAAUUUGAGCAAAUGACUGCAAUUCUCGAUCGGGAGUCAGGAAAGAUUCGUACCCUGAUUUGUAGUCGGUGUAGAUUUAACGGUAAUUCGGAUACCGCGUGGGUUUUUGAGGUUUGAAUCGGAGAUUUCGAAUCUCUUCGUCGGAGCCGCCGUCGUGGGAUUAGGCCGGAGAGCAAGAAAGGUUUGGAUUUUCUUUUUAGGUUUGGGUCGACUGCCUACAUCCCACAGUGAUAUAAGGUAAUUUUGUUUUUACUGCUGUUUCUUCAUCUGACUAACUAACCGAUACGCUCCGUCUUACUAAGUCUGUUAACAGACGUUAGACCCACAUUAAAGGUUCAAGUGCCCCAUGGUGCACUGAAUCCGCUCCGCAUGAAAGAUUAGAUUAGUUUUGCUACGAUACUCUCGCGGACGUCGGUUUGCAUACCAAAUAGGUGGGUGUGUUACUAAUUUACUAACCUGAUUCGAAUAACGUAAAUAAAGGUGACUUGCUAUCUCACUACCAAUCCAGAAAAAAAAAUACAUAAAAUUCGCAAUCAACCGACAACCGGUAAAUUCAGGUGGUGUAAUUUCUUUGAAAUUAAUAAUAAUAAUCCAGUAUCGUAAUGGUAAAAGUGUAAAACCAACUCCCAGCUAGGCUGGGUUCCAAAAAGAAAUGGUAAAACCAAAUCAGUAUGAAGUUCAUUUGUGAAGGUCCUAGGGGGGGGGUGGGGGGGGGGGGUGAAUAGGUCUUUAUUACUUUUUCGUCCGAUUCCGUUCACAAGGAUAGCAAACAUUUAGCUAUCCUGAUAACAUGGAGACGUAGUAAUAAAUAAAAGAACAAGUACUGGAAAGUAAAAGAAAUAACACCAGUACGUUUUUUAUUCGCAGAAACCUUGCACCAGGGAGAAAAACUGCGUGCCCCUAACUCUUGAGGGACAAACCUUUCCACUAUGUAAAACUCACUUCUUACAAGAUUAUAGUCUAGGGAUACAACGACGAUUUGCAAUCCUGCCUAGUCUACCCACUAGUCUAGAUCUAUCUCUCCUGUCUCUGAGUGACUCACCUCACUCCUCACAAGAUUAUNNNNNNNNNNNNNNNNNNNNUGGGUUGGAAGAACAACACAACCCUAGACUAACUUGGAGCUCAAGCACGAUGAAAAAUGUUUUGCUAAAAGAGAUUUGAAAUUCAAAUACUGAAAAGCUGAAGCAAAACCAUUUAAAUCUGCACGAAGUCAGACUCAGAGAUUAUGAUAGAUACAACAGGGGUAUCCACCAAAUCUGGAUAGCAAGCAGAGCUGCCAUCCUGAAUGAAUGUGAUGCACAUGCAUGAACUACCUGAUGUACAUGAGAUAAAAACAAAUAGCCAGCUAAUAUAUUAGUUUGUGUAUCACAAACCUAGCUAGAGCCUCUAAGCUCUAGUCAUGUGGUCACGGGUUGAAAACACUACACAACCCUAGACUGACUUGAAGCACCAAGGCAACGACAAAUGUUUUGCUAAAGGGGAUUUGAAUUCAAACAGUGGAAUUCAAACGAAUGAUACACAAAUAGCAAAAGCAUUUAGACAUGCAUACAUAUAGACCCAAUAGAUUAGGACAGAUACACCAAGAGGUAUCAUCCGAUCUAGGAUGACAAGCAAAGCUGCCAUUCUCAGUGAAAAACAUAAGAUGCAUAUGCAUGAACUACCUGAUACACAUGAGAUCUUGACAGGUCUUCAUUCUUCACUUAUGAUAUCCUUACCAUCAGGAUAUGUAGAAUUCUCAGUGAAAAGCAUCAGAUGCAUAUACACCAGUUACCUAGGACACAUGUGAUCUUGUCAAGUCUUCAUUCUUCACUUGUGAUAUCCUUACCAUCAGGAUAUAUAAAAUAGCUUGUGUCUUGUGUUUUGAUCAUAAAAGGGAUAGCCAACAAUCCUUAUACCAACAAUUUGUCUAAUGCCGAUACGAAUAAUGUUGUUCUAUGAAUCUGCAAGGUGAGAAUCUUAUUUCAAGUUUCUUUCAAACCAAACAUGGAAAGAAACUUUAGUUCAGGGUGAACCGAAAAGGUUUCGCCCUAGAAGGCUCAAAAAGUAUGAGCGUUGCUUUGCAUUAUGUAUUCGGUUAGGCCAACAAGCCGACCAAAACGCUUCGUAAUAGUCGUUUUAGCCAAGUCGCCAUCAAGACGAGCAAAGCACUGACUUAAUCUAGAUUUCACCAUCCCAGAGUUCCUCAACAGUUCUAUAGGACCCAAAAGUGUCAUGUACAAAAAAGUCACCUUUGACUAGCCUUUCCUGCAAAUUUGGAAAACAAUGUAGUAUCAGUGACCAUCAUCACCAUCUUGAUCAAAUUACAGAACCUAAUAGGACUCCAGAAGCAACCAUGUCAUAUUAAUGAUGGGCUAUGUUUAAUAGUUAUGCCAUAACUGACNNNNNNNNNNNNNNNNNNNNUAGGCUACUUAUCUAUCAUUUUGACCUCAUCCUUUACAACUGAGACAGUCAGACUGAAGGGUAAUAUGAACAUCGUAUUUGUGGUUUAAAGAUGGCACAAACUAUUUUAAGAAAUGUAGUUUGAACACUAAAAGUAGGCAUAUUGCACAUUUCUACAAAGAAUCCCAACUGAUAAAU
RNAcentral lists this long non-coding RNA (16134 nucleotides) under Fragaria vesca (wild strawberry). Its description in RNAcentral is "long non-coding RNA (FVES_LNC002865)". The record is from RNAcentral. Lineage: Eukaryota; Viridiplantae; Streptophyta; Magnoliopsida; Rosales; Rosaceae.